UCUGGGAAACCCGAAAGAUCGAAUGGGGAGAUUCAUCGUCAGCAACGUCGGCUUUUCGGUGGUUCUUGAUACGCUGCGUCCAUCCGAGCAUUUGCCGCACGAAUCCUCCGUGCAAACUCAUGUCCGGCGGCGUUAUCGUGCACUUCUCCCCUAGUAGGACGUCGAGACAUGUUGGGUGUCUCUCUACGGCUCGAGUCGUCGCCUGUCCGGUCGCUUCGGCGUUUCGGGGCAAACGCUCGGUUGUCCGGCCGACUGCCCGGCGGUACUUGCAUGGUAUCUGACCGGAAUCUCGAACUGCGUCUGAGGCCCGCUGCAAGCGCGGUCAGUGUAAACUCGGAGGUACGGACCCAGCGCCGUCCCCGGGCAUGGCCCGCUGUUCACCGGCGGUGGUCUCUGACCGGUCACGAGAAACGAUACCAGUCGGCAAUGCUAUUAUUGCUUUGGGUACUUUCAGG
Molecule: ribosomal RNA, 455 nt
Filed under: Parevania sp. 174
Lineage: Eukaryota; Metazoa; Arthropoda; Insecta; Hymenoptera; Evaniidae
Description: eukaryotic LSU rRNA
Source: RNAcentral